RNAcentral lists this ribosomal RNA (163 nucleotides) under Erigeron clokeyi. RNAcentral describes it as "5.8S ribosomal RNA". It matches the Rfam family "5.8S ribosomal RNA". From Rfam's summary of the family: 5.8S ribosomal RNA (5.8S rRNA) is a component of the large subunit of the eukaryotic ribosome. Lineage: Eukaryota; Viridiplantae; Streptophyta; Magnoliopsida; Asterales; Asteraceae. The record is from RNAcentral.
AAUGACUCUCGGCAACGGAUAUCUCGGCUCACGCAUCGAUGAAGAACGUAGCAAAAUGCGAUACUUGGUGUGAAUUGCAGAAUCCCGUGAACCAUCGAGUUUUUGAACGCAAGUUGCGCCCGAGAGCCAUUCGGCUAAGGGCACGUCUGCCUGGGUGUCACGC